CCUACGGGUGGCUGCAGUGAGGAAUAUUGGUCAAUGGGCGCGAGCCUGAACCAGCCAAGUAGCGUGAAGGAUGACUGCCCUACGGGUUGUAAACUUCUUUUAUAAAGGAAUAAAGUGAGGCACGUGUGCCUUUUUGUAUGUAUUUUAUGAAUAAGGAUCGGCUAACUCCGUUCCAGCAGCCGCGGUAAUACGGAGGAUCCGAGCGUUAUCCGGAUUUAUUGGGUUUAAAGGGAGCGUAGAUGGGUUGUUAAGUCAGGUGUGAAAGUUUGCGGCUCAAACGGAAAAUUGCAAUUGAUACUGGCAGCCUUGAGUACAGUUGAGGUAGGCGGAAUUCGGGGUGUAGCGGUGAAAUGCUUAGAUAUCACGAAGAACCCCGAUUGCGAAGGCAGCCUACUAAACUGCCAAUGACAUUGAGGCUCGAAAGUGUGGGUAUCAAACAGGAUUAGAUACCCGAGUAGUC
RNAcentral lists this ribosomal RNA (460 nucleotides) under uncultured bacterium. RNAcentral's name for it is "partial 16S ribosomal RNA". It matches the Rfam family "Bacterial small subunit ribosomal RNA", at positions 338 to 795 of the family's 1533-position model. The record is from RNAcentral.